CAUUGGGCCGUCCCGUAUGCACAGGAAUACGGGUCCAAAUAUUUGCUAGUAGUAUUUAUCAACUAAAAAGGCCCAGUGCAUCAGGUUGGGCCAAGAGCAGUGCAUCAGGGUCGGCCCUAUUCGGCCACUCCUCCGGCCUGCUGCGUUACCGUGUUGGGCCAGUGCGGAAAACGCGAGCAUACGCACCUCCCCUCCCGUAGCCUAAUCGAUCCAACUUCCUCCACUUAAAAAACUAAAAAAAUCCAUCCAUCGAUCAGGUCUGUGUAGACUAGACGCGUACAGAUCCGGCCCCUCCAUACGCCUCGCCCUCACGUACACAGGCGGCGGCGGCGGCGGCAGGGCACCGGCCGCCGGACGCCGCAGGCCACGAACCCCGAGUCCUUUGGUGAUGACGCGAUGCACGCGAGCGACGCCGCACGCCGUCGGCCGGUCCAGCGCUCCGUAAUUUGGCAACCUUUCCAAUCUUGAGUCCUCGUUUCCAUGCGUAUCAAAGGCCACAAUGAAAAGCAUCAUCACAGGAUGUUCCGGAACACAUAAAUAGGGAAGAGGAGAUUCAAUAUCAUCCGGGCAAGAGAAAAUUGAUCAAACGUACUAAAGGUAAUUUCCAAUUUUUUAGCCAUUUAAAUACUUUCAUGGACAUUUUAUUAUGUUUUACUAGAAAGUUUAAUUCCAUUUUUAUCUUGUACAUUAUGUGCCCUGCUGUCGGAUGAUGUAUUCUGGAAUUUCAAAAUGCAAGACAACCUUUUCAAGUAA
Molecule: long non-coding RNA, 753 nt
Organism: Triticum aestivum (bread wheat)
Lineage: Eukaryota; Viridiplantae; Streptophyta; Magnoliopsida; Poales; Poaceae
Exons: 2
Source: RefSeq, a predicted model, not a curated record